UGCGGCCAUGGCGGAAUUGGCAGACGCGCAGGAUUAAGGAUCCUGUCGAGAAUUAUCUCGGUGGAAGUUCGAAUCUUCUUGGCCGCAUC
RNAcentral lists this transfer RNA (89 nucleotides) under Philodulcilactobacillus myokonensis. RNAcentral's name for it is "tRNA-Leu". It matches the Rfam family "tRNA". From Rfam's summary of the family: Transfer RNA (tRNA) molecules are approximately 80 nucleotides in length. Their secondary structure includes four short double-helical elements and three loops (D, anti-codon, and T loops). Further hydrogen bonds mediate the characteristic L-shaped molecular structure. tRNAs have two regions of fundamental functional importance: the anti-codon, which is responsible for specific mRNA codon recognition, and the 3' end, to which the tRNAs corresponding amino acid is attached (by aminoacyl-tRNA synthetases). tRNAs cope with the degeneracy of the genetic code in two manners: having more than one tRNA (with a specific anti-codon) for a particular amino acid; and 'wobble' base-pairing, i.e. permitting non-standard base-pairing at the 3rd anti-codon position. The record is from RNAcentral. Lineage: Bacteria; Bacillati; Bacillota; Bacilli; Lactobacillales; Lactobacillaceae.